GAUGAACGCUGGCGGCGUGCCUAAUAUAUGCAAGUCGAGCGAACGGACGAGAAGCUUGCUUUUCUGAUGUUAGCGGCGGACGGGUGAGUAACACGUGGAUAACCUACCUAUAAGACUGGGAUAACUUCGGGAAACCGGAGCUAAUACCGGAUAAUAUUUUGAACCGCAUGGUUCAAAAGUGAAAGACGGUCUUGCUGUCACUUAUAGAUGGAUCCGCGCUGCAUUAGCUAGUUGGUAAGGUAACGGCUUACCAAGGCAACGAUGCAUAGCCGACCUGAGAGGGUGAUCGGCCACACUGGAACUGAGACACGGUCCAGACUCCUACGGGAGGCAGCAGUAGGGAAUCUUCCGCAAUGGGCGAAAGCCUGACGGAGCAACGCCGCGUGAGUGAUGAAGGUCUUCGGAUCGUAAAACUCUGUUAUUAGGGAAGAACAUAUGUGUAAGUAACUGUGCACAUCUUGACGGUACCUAAUCAGAAAGCCACGGCUAACUACGU
This 496-nucleotide ribosomal RNA is filed under the name uncultured bacterium. RNAcentral describes it as "partial 16S ribosomal RNA". It matches the Rfam family "Bacterial small subunit ribosomal RNA", at positions 28 to 506 of the family's 1533-position model. The record is from RNAcentral.